GAGAGUGCAGGCGGUUUUCUAAGUCUGAUAUGAAAGCCUUCGGCUUAACCGGAGAAGUGCAUCGGAAACUGGAUAACUUGAGUGCAGAAGAGGGUAGUGGAACUACCAUGUGUAGCGGUGGAAUGCGUAGAUAUAUGGAAGAACACCAGUGGCGAAGGCGGCUACCUGGUCUGCAACUGACGCUGAGACUCGAAAGCAUGGGUAGCGAACAGGAUUAGAUACCCUGGUAG
This 230-nucleotide ribosomal RNA is filed under the name uncultured bacterium. RNAcentral describes it as "partial 16S ribosomal RNA". It matches the Rfam family "Bacterial small subunit ribosomal RNA", at positions 565 to 793 of the family's 1533-position model. The record is from RNAcentral.